AAUUCCGGUGAAGAUGCCGGAUACCUGCGACAGGACGGAAAGACCCCAUGGAGCUUUACUGUAGCUUGACAUUGGGUCUUGGUACUACAUGUACAGGAUAGGUGGGAGGCUUUGAAACCAGGACGCCAGUUUUGGCGGAGCCAUCCUUGGGAUACCACCCUUGUAGUACUGGGACUCUAACCAUAGGCCAUGAAUCUGGUCUUGGGACACUGUCAGGUGGGCAGUUUGACUGGGGCGGUCGCCUCCCAAAAGGUAACGGAGGCGCUCAAAGGUUCUCUCAGUACGGUCGGAAAUCGUACGUAGAGUGUAAAGGCAAAAGAG
This 321-nucleotide ribosomal RNA is filed under the name Clostridioides difficile. RNAcentral's name for it is "partial 23S ribosomal RNA". It matches the Rfam family "Bacterial large subunit ribosomal RNA", at positions 2046 to 2365 of the family's 2925-position model. The record is from RNAcentral. Lineage: Bacteria; Bacillati; Bacillota; Clostridia; Peptostreptococcales; Peptostreptococcaceae.